This is a non-coding RNA of Xyrichtys novacula (pearly razorfish), 6412 nucleotides long. NCBI's taxonomy places the organism in Eukaryota, Metazoa, Chordata, Actinopteri, Labriformes, Labridae. The record is from the annotation of a GenBank genome assembly.
AAAAAUGUAAGGUAGGUCAUGUGUGCCAAAUGACUCCUCUUGAACUCAGAUUUUUUUUUUUUUUUAGCAAACUUCAAUUAUAUUUUUUAUUCUUUGUUAAUCAUUUUAAAGCAGUUCUUAAACAACAUAUUAUAUUUAACAGGGUGGUUAGUAAAUUACCUCACAGGUGUUCACAACCAGAUAGAUAAUCCCUUUACUGGGUCUGCUUUUGGUCGUUAAAAUGUUCAGAGAAGGUAAAGCCAAAUAAAUUUAAAUUGAUAAGGGUGUGUGGCCUCAUCUCACCCGAAUGAAGUAAAAGGCAUCACUAAUCGAUCGACGACCCCUCAGCUUUGUCUGCGUUGCGUUUGCUGCCCCUUCCCCGCUCGACCGUGACAGCCGCGCGUCCUCUGAAGAAAUGGUAACGACAGUGAAGCUCAACACCGGCGCACAGUGCCCUAUUUUGGGACUGGGGACCUGGAAGGUGAGUUUUGCUUGACUGUGUGGUCUGUUUCGAGUUAAUGGUUAACUUGUUAGGUAAGCUAAAGUUAGCUGCGUACUCCAGCAGAGACCUUGCGUGCAGACUGUUACAUAAACGAAACGCUGUUUGGUGACUUAACUCGGCGUGUUUGGCUUUAUACCAACACAAACUCACACAGAAUUGCACAAACAUAACACAAGUUGAGACAGCUUUCAGUUUAUACUUUCAUAAGAGAGGUUUUUGGAACUACAGCUGUUGCAACUAUACACGCGUUAGUUAAUGUUAAUAUUAGCUCCUGCACAGUCCUCUCCUGCUAACACUAAAAUAAGAGCCAGUUGUAUUUUAGUUAAGAUUUAUUGAACCAUGAAAUGUUCUGCUGUCACACGACAACAACAACUGUGUGCAUAAUCUAACCUAACAUCUGCUGUUGAGAAAUAUUGCUUUGGUGUCUUAAUUUGUAUCCAUACGUUGGCAGAAAACAUGACCCAAGUUAUGAGUAGUGCAGCCAUAUUUUCUUCUUAUUGAAUUUGCUGUAUAGCCUUCAUGUUUACUACUCAACUCUGUAGACUCAAGCGGUGUGAGGAGUCAAUGAUAAUUCACUUGUUUUCCUCAGAUGUACUGAAUAUUGUUUCAAAAUGAACAUUAUGUGCCUAAAGAAUCCACGAGAACUACCUUUGUCAGGAUUAGUAUCCCAGAGCAGGUGCGUGCCCAAGCUUCUUCUAACUCGCGUGCCCCAGCUCCUGCAUUGACUUCUGCACAUCCCAAAUGAACAGUAUUAGUAUUAACACCGAGUUAGACACCCCUCGAGAGAUGAAUGUUGCCAACCACUUGCUUCUCUAGUCAUACCAACUUUAAUAACAACUGCAGGUUAGCUAUACACCAACGUCCGAGGAGCCAUAGACACCCCUCGAGAGAUAAAUGUUGCCGACCGCUUGCUUUUCUAGUUCUGUGCUGUUCUGAGCAUUAUUUGUGGCUAUGGAGUGGCUUUUUGGUUGAGGUUUGUUUAUGGCUCCUCAGACCGCUGUGUAUUUCUAUCGUGCGGUCGUUACUAAAGUUGGUAUAACUCAAGAAGCAAGAAGUAAUUUAAGCUGCUGUUCCAUUUGAGACAAGUAACCAAAUGUGUAAAUUGUUUCUUUUGCUCCUUAUCACUGGUUGCACAGAGUUUAUUUAGUGCUUCUUGUAGCCCCUCCUACACUUGUAUGUGAGUAUAAUUUAAAAACAUUGUACUUUUUCCUGUGUUUUGGCCUCUCUGUCAUUUUAAAUAAACUUUAUAUUCUCGCCAUCAGCUGGUUUGAUGAAACUGUGGUCUUUUUUAACUGUUAAUGCGUUGCUGUGGUAUAGGGGAAUAUUUUAUUCGUAAAGCAUGAUUCAAGUUUCCGACUGAAAAUUCUUAAAUUGAUGUUUCUCAUGCUCAGGAUAGUUCAGAUGACAAUAAAUAAUCAUAACCCAUCAUCACUGUGUGUUAGUCAACCCCAGGCGCAGUCGCAGAGGCGGUGAAAGCGGCCAUCUCGGCAGGUUACAGGCACAUCGAUGGAGCAUUUAUCUACCAGAAUGAGACAGAGGUGGGAGAGGGUGUCCAAGCCAUGAUCAAAGAAGGUGUGGUCAAAAGAGAGGAUCUUUUCUUGGUUAGCAAGGUGAGUUUAAGGUAAAACAUGCACACAUGAUUGUUUCUGUGACUGAAUGGUGCUUGAAUACAAGAUUCUUGGGUAUGAUGCCCAGUGUGUAAAUCUCUCUACCUUUCCUUUAGUUGUGGUGCACCUUCCAUGGGAAGUCCCUGGUGAGGCAAGCCUGUGAGAAGACUCUCAGUGAUCUUAAACUGGACUACCUAGAUCUCUAUCUUGUCCACUGGCCCAUGGGUUUCAAGGUUGGUGCACUAUUGUUUUGUCAACAAAAUGUAAAAUCGUGUAAGGGUGCAGUCUGUUUGUGGAUCCAUAGAAUUAGCUGUGUAUGACUUUCAUCCAGGAGUUGGACAUCAGAUCAGCUCAGAUGAAGCUUGAUGGCUUUUUUUUUUGUCAUGUUAAAGGCUGGCAGUGAGAUGUUUCCACUGGAUGACGCUGGAGAGACAAUCAGCGAUGGUACUUCCUUCCUGGAGACCUGGGAGGUGAGUCAAAUUUAGGCACUUAGGAAUAAGAUUUAAACUUGUAGUAAACAUUGAAGUUUCUAGGGACCAAGGGAAGGUAUGUGGACAAAGGAGAAAUCUGAAGGACUCCCCGAUGGACACAUCUUUCAGGCUCAUCUCAGCCUUGUCUGAGUGGAUCAACAGCAGCCAAAUGUCUCCUUGAGACUUGUUUGUCCUAUGACAGCUUUCAAAACAAGGACUGUUUUAAGCUGUAAUAUCUUAUUGUCAGACUUUAACUGUCAGAUGAAAAGGAAGAAGUACUUAAAGUUGGAGGUUGGGUGUGCUAACUGUUUUUUUUUUUCCUUUUUGUUUUCUUAAUGAUAUUUCUCAGGGAAUGGAGGAGCUUGUGGAUGCAGGUUUGGUCAAAGCAAUUGGAGUCUCCAACUUCAACAAGGCACAGCUGGAAGCCAUUCUCAACAAGCCCGGCCUCAAAUACAAACCUGCUAAUAACCAGGUACGCUGACUUAUUAAAUGUUUGCUUGUUUAAAAAGGUGUGCAAACUUCAGAGCAUUGCAAACAAACUUGCAAGGUGAUCCUCUUUUACAACACACUUUUCAGUACCUGUUAUUUGGACUCUCAGAAUAUCAGACCCACAGACUUUUAAUCCACCCAAGUUAAAAUAGAACCACACUUGUUAUCUAUGAACUAUAGGGGCCACAUGUAAACUUACACAAUCAUAAAAGCAGCUUAUGUAUGUUAGAAAACAGACACACUUGUGGUUCCUAAAGGGCAAAAAGCCAAAAUGGCAUUAUCUGUCUCAUCCAAUCAGGUCUGAGGAGUAAAUGUCUUGUUUCAUCUAAAUAAACCACAUGAGAGUCCCCUCAGGCCAGACCAUUAAGAGGAGAUGACCUCCUUUUUUGUGUUUUUCCAGAACAAUUGUUCCCCAUCAAUGUCUUAUUUAGCUUGUUCCCUGGGUAUAUCUCAUUACAGCACCAUUAUCCAUCUGUUGACUGUCACUAUUCUUACCAAAUACAGAACUGAAGACUCUUAUAGAAAAGAAACCCCCCUUUAUAAGAUGAUGUUAAAGAAGUACGGUCCGUUUUUUUAGGCUUAUGUGAUAUAAAAGCCAAAAAUAUGAUUUUUAUUCCUCCAGAAGCUCAGGUUGUUCACUUUUCAAAGUUGACUCUUAAGACUUAAUUUUUGAAAGUGUUAGUAGAAGGUAUUCAAUUUGAACUCAUCUUGCUGGUUUUAAAGGACUGUAGUGAGCUGUCUUGAAGGUUUGUGUCCAUACCCCGUUGUGCACUUACUCUGCAGUGACGUAAGGGUUGAGGUGUGAGAGCAUAUUAAUAGGAGCUGUGUUUGAGUAUGUUUCAGCUGCAACAACGUCACCAAAGCACUUGGGUUAUUACUUCCUGAUUAAAAAUGGUGCAUUAUCAGGAUGUUAUAUAUUUCCAUAAAUGAUGAUCCAAUCAUACAAAACUUACAGCAGCAGAGAAGCUCACUCUCAUCUCUUUGACAAAUGCAUGCAGGCUGACAUUGAGUUACUAUGGUAACAGGAACAUGCUGUGUCUGUCACUCUGACACUGUUUACACUACGUUUGCAUCAGAAAUGGUAGAAUUCAAGUAAACAAAGUUCUGAGAUUGGGCAGUAAUUCAGGUUUUUGGAUACAAAACUACACCUACAGUGGAGUCAAGAUAUAUUUAUAUAGACAUAUUAGAUAUGUAAACAAAUAGGGCUAUAUAAAUAAAACUGUGCUGUAAUUGUGCAUUAAAAAUACUUUAUUAAAUCCUCUGAGGGCCCGAAGUGGCAUCGACAGUCUUCCACUUGUUUAACCAACAGUCCAAAACUGAAAUGAUCCUCAUGUUACUUUUAAAAGGGCAAAUAAAACAUCAUGAUGUGCUGAUUCUGAUGAUCCCACUGGGUGAAGUUGGUUGUGUUUUCUGGAAAACUGCAAUUUCCAUGAGCAAAUACACACACUGCACACCUUUUCUAUUUUUCUGCACUGCAGCUCAGUUGUGUGUUUGUCCCAUCAGUUUGAGUGCCACCCAUACCUGACCCAGGAUAAGCUGAUCGACUUCUGCCACUCUCAGGGCAUCUCAGUGACAGCUUACAGUCCUCUGGGCUCCCCGGACAGACCCUGGUGAGCUUCUUCCUCACAUGACACGUUUUUAAAGAAGCUGUUUCACAAUAUUGCAGCAAAGUGGGUCACAUUUGGUUGAAUGUUGACUCAGCAUUCCUCUGCGUGAUUUUAUGUUGUACUCUUGUGGUUAGUUUCUUCUUGUGACUGCUGUUCCUCUUUCUCAAAGUGUUGUAUCCAUGUACGGUAGAAUUUGUCAUGAUGGACAUGGAGUAAUCAGCUGCUUUGAUAUUGAUUUUUCAGUUAUGGUCUUUUAAAGUGCUGUCACUGUUCUGAUGUUCAUGUCAGCUCAGUAACCCGCCUUUACGCUCUCUUUUUCAUGUUAUCUUGCAGGGCUAAACCUGAAGACCCCUCACUCCUGGAGGAUCCAAACAUUAAAGCCAUUGCUGAUAAACACAAGAAGACACCUGCACAGGUACAGACUCUGAUCAAAUAAAGACAGCUUGUUUCUCUUUUCUCAUCCACUCUCAAUUUUAGCAUCGUAGGCAUCCACAAGAGAUAAUAAUGUGGAUGGUUUAAAUACCAACAGCUGGAAUUACACCUGAAGUCAUGACCCCUGAUCGAGCUCACAUGUUAUUCUGCUCCCUUGCCAGGUCCUGAUCCGCUUCCACAUCCAAAGGAACGUGAUCGUGAUCCCCAAGUCCAUCACACCUCACCGCAUCCAGGAGAACUUCCAGGUAAUUAGCUGAGAAAUUGUUCAGAUAUUUCCCCGGAUUAGCUCUCAGCUCCUUCAUUCACUUACACUGUUUUGCUCGUGCAUGAAAACUAUUUUCUUUUUUUUUAAUCCGUGCAGGUGUUUGACUUUGAACUGACUGAGGAGGAAAUGAAGACCAUAUUAGGGUUCAACAGGAACUGGAGAGUGUGUCCCAUGCAGUGGUGGGUUUGUUUGCUUUUGAGCCCUAAUUUUUGUCGAGUUUGUCACUUUUUGAUAACAUUGUUAUGCUCCUUCAUUCAUUUUUCUCCUGCAGGAGCACAAAGCACAAGGACUAUCCAUUCAACGACGAGUACUGAAGUGAAAAAAACGGCAGAUUUUCCACAGGCUUACGUUUGGUGCUGGGUUUUGCUUCUCUACCCUUUAGACUGCUCACGGUGCUCUUCUGAGCAGUUUGCAGUGACAGUGUGGCCUUUAAAGCUGACAUUGAUUUCAUUAUUAAGAGGAUGUUAACCUGAUUCUUGCUGGUGUUACCUCACAGACUCCAAAAAGUUGUUUAUACCCAUGUAUGAAGCGCUCAUUCAGUCCACAUUGAUGCAAUUGCUGGAAUAAGUUUUAUUCUUGUAAAGUCGAGUGUCAGAAACUUCCUUUUAAGUUCUAUUUGUUCAAAUAUUUUUGUGUUUGUGGCGUUUUCAACAGCUGAACUACCAAAAAAAUGUGAAAAUUACUCCACAGAUAAAGUAUUUUCAAAGGAAGUUAACAUUUGGAGUUGCUCUUCUGCACAAAGUACCCUUUUUUAUGUCUUACUUGUAGCUCAACGUGUUUGUAGUAUAGCAUUAAGGACAAAACUGCCUAGAGUGAGUCCUUUUGGACAAACUCCAAGAUAAAUUCCUCAUUUUUUUCAAUAUAUAUUUUCAGUAGUACACAUGUGAUAAAUGCUGCAUCAUACUUGUCUUGUGAAAACUAAAGGACUUCCUGUUGUUACUUUUAGGUCACAUGUGGCCCUCUAUGAUCAUGUGUGUUACCCUGUUACAGAAUCGCUGCUUUCACUUCCAGUCAGGGCAUUUUUCUUUCAAUUAUUAAACGAAGUCCAGUGGAAAGAAAAA